RNAcentral lists this ribosomal RNA (651 nucleotides) under Alexandrium minutum. RNAcentral describes it as "LSU rRNA". It matches the Rfam family "Eukaryotic large subunit ribosomal RNA", at positions 67 to 651 of the family's 3401-position model. The record is from RNAcentral. Lineage: Eukaryota; Dinophyceae; Gonyaulacales; Pyrocystaceae.
AAAUGGGAUUCCUUAAGUAAUUGCGAAUGAACAAGGAAAUGCUCAGCUUGAAAAAUGGGGCCUUUGGCUUUGAAUUGUAAUUUUGAAAUGUAUUGCCAAUGGAGGCGCAGGUGCAAGCCUAUUGAAAGAAAGCGUCAAUGAGGGUGAGAUUCCUUUUUGUCAUUUGCAGUCCUCCGUGCACGGUAUAUAUUUGACGAGUCACACUCCUCGGCAUUGGAAUGCAAAGUGGGUGGUAAAUUCCAUGUAAAGGUAAAUAUAUUAUUGAGACUGAUAGCAAACAAGUACCAUGAGGGAAAUAUGAAAAGGACUUUGAAAAGAGAAUUAAAAGAGUCUGCAUUUGCUGAACAGAAAGCAAACAGAAUUGAUUUUACUUGGUGAGAUUGUUGUGCUUACUCUAUCAUUAUAUGGUUGAUGUGGGUGCGAUGGUUCUUACCUUGAAUGUCAGCUUCUAUUUCUGCAAAUCAUUACCCUUGCACAUGAAUGGUAAUUUGCCUGCGGGUAUUGGAAUGCAUGUGUUUGCAAUGAUUUGUGAUUUGACGCAUGUGUUUGGUGAAAUUUGUAUAUGCUCUUUUGUCGAAGGGGAAAGCUUACUUUUUUGAGCAUUGCAAGCCCUUACACAUCAGUGCUGGCAAAAUGUUUCUGCUUGACCCG